Molecule: long non-coding RNA, 214 nt
Filed under: Elaeis guineensis (African oil palm)
Lineage: Eukaryota; Viridiplantae; Streptophyta; Magnoliopsida; Arecales; Arecaceae
Description: long non-coding RNA (EGUI_LNC047170)
Source: RNAcentral
GCCAUGUUACAUCAUCUUAGCCAAUCAUCAUUCUUUUGAUCGAUACGUGGUAUAAACAGAUCUACCAUCCAAUAGAUUUUGUUAGCGGUCACUAUUCCUGACCUACUAGACCUCAACCCAUCUUUUGUAUUUUGGUGUAUUACUCUACUUCCAUUACCUAGAGUAGACCCUCUACCUAGCACUUCUAAUGCUACCCCAUGGCUAUUACUUGGCC